Molecule: long non-coding RNA, 2018 nt
Organism: Onychostoma macrolepis
Lineage: Eukaryota; Metazoa; Chordata; Actinopteri; Cypriniformes; Cyprinidae
Exons: 3
Source: RefSeq, a predicted model, not a curated record
AAACAGAAAUGUGUAUUAUAACCUCUGCUUUUAACGUCUAAAUCUCUUAUGUAGUCUGACAGUCAAUAGCAUAAAAUAAAUCAGAACUAUUUAACAAAAUAGACCUACUUACUGAGAAGAAUUAAAUUUAAUAGUGCAUGCGCCUAAAGUAAAGUAAACUAAUAUAAUAUCAAAGACGACGACGUGAAUGAAACUGCAAAGUCUUCUCACAUUUUUAAUGAAGAAUUCAGUGGAGGGAACCAGGGUUACAUUAAGUAACCCGAGCCAUUCUCACUCUUGUAAAUAACCGGAUGUAGGCUAUGUGUGAACGUAACCAUAUUAAGGAUUCAAAUAUACAGUAGUACAGCUGUAUUCUGCUGCUGUGUGAACACGCAUUUGAGAUGAAUCUGUGUCAGUUUUUUGCCAUCAUUUUACAAAAAUAUUUGAACAGUUUGCCCCAAUUGACCUGAUAGAAUCAGGAAUUCCAGAUACACUGUUAGACAUUUCUGUAAUUUCCACAGUUAUUUACUGCAUGUCACCCAGUGUAAUACUGCAAAUUCCCUUUACAGUAAAUAACUGUAAUACCCUUUGCAUCAUGGGAAUUUUCUGUGACGUCAGACCCCAUAUACAGAGACUUACUGUAUUUUUUUAAAUUGCUGUAUACUACUGUAACGGUCUCUUUGGCACCAUUAUACUGCGGUCGUUUUAUUUUCCUCAUUUCUUACAUUUGGAUUGACACAAUUUGCCCUACACCGUGUCUACAACGCCGCAACAACUUGGGACUGACUACACUGGACUUGUUACAUUGCUUCUAAUGAUUGCAAAAUCCGUUUGUACUUCCUGUCAGAAACAGCACGAGCGCUUGGAGUACAUCUGCACGUCAGAAAUAUACCGGGGCAUCAGUUUACUGUCCGCAUUCACUGUAGAUAAUAUAUAUAAUAAGUUCUAUAUUGUUGUCUGUUGUCGAGUUGCGCUGCGCCGCGUAUGAUCCCCCUUGACCCCGCCAGAGUGGAAGAGCUCCGGAAAACAUCUACGCUGUGUGUCGAUGCACCUUACGAGAGAAUAAGACCAGCAAGCAAGGCAACUGCAAUGAAGCAUCAAGAAAGACAUGAGCAGGCCAGCCAACCUGAGACUGAUAAUUCAUGAGAAGACAUUUCUGUCACUAACAAAGUGGAUGGUGAGCAAAGAUGGUGGCCACGUUUUGGAGCAGCACCUGGGUUUUGCAGAUGGCUAUGUAUUCUUUGGCUGUUUGUCUUUUUCCCCGUUAUGUUUCUGUUGCCUAAAGAUUCUUUGUGAGGAUGAAUCCAGAGGACACAACAUAAUGCACUGCAAAACGUCCUAAGACAGGAGAAAUGGUGAAGUUGCACUGUUCCAGAGUUGGAAGUCUGUAUUUUUAAGUGUUAUACAUGCAAUGUUUUAAAUAAAGAAUUUGAUAUUUUGUAAUUAUUGUGUCUGCUUUAAUUGAAUGCCAGUAGUACCUAUGCAGAGUAAAAAUAAUAUAUAUAAAAAUGAUCAAAUCUAAUGAAAUCUACAUUAAAAUGAAUGAAUUACAGUAGUAUACUGAUAAAUCAAAUACAGUUUGCUACUGUAAAUCUUAAUUACAGUAACUUACUGGUAACAGUGUUGCCAGUAAGUUACUGUAAAAACCCUUUGAAAUGUCUAACAGUGCAGCCAUGAAGGGUUUAUCACAGAUACACAGUACCUCUAGAUAACGUAUAAAAGUAGUCAUGUAGUUACUGGUUUAUAUCAUAUAUUAUAUCAAGUUUUUUUGUAAUUACAGGAUUUAGGCUGAAUUUAGGUGUGGAUGUGAAGGGAUUUCUCAAUAACACUAGAUGGCCAUUCUAAUGCUAAAGCUGUUAGCAACCCUUCAUCCUUAUCUGCUUUACGAAUUAUCUGCUCCUCUUUUCUGUUUACAAACCCAUUGAACUGUUUACUUAUAAUUACCAUCUGCUGGUUUUUGCAACAGUAGUCAUUUUUGACCUAUGCUUCUGCAUCAGUUCAUUGCAUGACGAUAACAUGCUUUACUUGAAACAUUCACA